GGAUGUGGCUCAGCUUGGUAGAGCGCUGCGUUCGGGACGCAGAGGUCGCAGGUUCGAAUCCUGUCAUCC
This 69-nucleotide transfer RNA is filed under the name human gut metagenome. It matches the Rfam family "tRNA". Rfam says of the family: Transfer RNA (tRNA) molecules are approximately 80 nucleotides in length. Their secondary structure includes four short double-helical elements and three loops (D, anti-codon, and T loops). Further hydrogen bonds mediate the characteristic L-shaped molecular structure. tRNAs have two regions of fundamental functional importance: the anti-codon, which is responsible for specific mRNA codon recognition, and the 3' end, to which the tRNAs corresponding amino acid is attached (by aminoacyl-tRNA synthetases). tRNAs cope with the degeneracy of the genetic code in two manners: having more than one tRNA (with a specific anti-codon) for a particular amino acid; and 'wobble' base-pairing, i.e. permitting non-standard base-pairing at the 3rd anti-codon position. The record is from RNAcentral. RNAcentral also lists the same sequence under 1 other name.